RNAcentral lists this ribosomal RNA (254 nucleotides) under uncultured bacterium. RNAcentral's name for it is "partial 16S ribosomal RNA". It matches the Rfam family "Bacterial small subunit ribosomal RNA", at positions 524 to 776 of the family's 1533-position model. The record is from RNAcentral.
UACGAAGGGGGCUAGCGUUGCUCGGAAUCACUGGGCGUAAAGGGUGCGUAGGCGGGUCUUUUAAGUCAGGGGUGAAAUCCUGGAGCUCAACUCCAGAACUGCCUUUGAUACUGAAGAUCUUGAGUCCGGGAGAGGUGAGUGGAACUGCGAGUGUAGAGGUGAAAUUCGUAGAUAUUCGCAAGAACACCAGUGGCGAAGGCGGCUCACUGGCCCGGUACUGACGCUGAGGUGCGAAAGCGUGGGGAGCAAACAGG